CUCCAGUGAUGACUUUUGCUUUGUGCCACGUGUCUGGGCCACUUAACAUUCAUGAUGGUAUUGAGGAAAUGAAGGAG
Molecule: small nucleolar RNA, 77 nt
Filed under: Echeneis naucrates (live sharksucker)
Lineage: Eukaryota; Metazoa; Chordata; Actinopteri; Carangiformes; Echeneidae
Description: Small nucleolar RNA SNORD66 (ENSENLG00000012789.1)
Rfam family: Small nucleolar RNA SNORD66
About the family: snoRNA HBII-142 is part of the C/D family of snoRNAs. It is the human orthologue of the mouse MBII-142 snoRNA and is predicted to guide 2'O-ribose methylation of small 18S rRNA at residue C1272.
Source: Rfam by way of RNAcentral